CGCAGGACUCGCACGUAAGGGUGUCAGACAGUCCGGUGCGGAACGACUAUGCUUUCGCGAAGGCAACCCCUAUACAGAUGCGGCAUAACAAUGGUGCGUUGGAGCGGCGAAUUGUUGAUGGCAGUUGCACCUUUAACGGAGGAUCAUGUUCGUGUAGGCUACACUUCUGGGAACUAGGACACGACCAAUAACUCUGCGCGAAAGUCCGAGCCAGGAAACAAAGGUUCCUUGCUGCGUCGGUUCUUGAUAGUGCGAUCGGAACUACUCGCGAUCCUUCAUGGGCGGACUGGGCGGCCUCGCCAGCAAAGUCAUUACCACUGUACCGUCUUGGGCAUUGCGUCCUGUCAUAUCGUCGGGUCCUGGAGGCCCAGAGAAUGAAUGCCCGUAUUACCAGGCCUCACACACUCUCAAGUUCCAGUGAUCCCCACAGAGAGCGAAAGAUCUGCCGCUGCGCAUUCCAGAAUGAAGCGCCCACGCGGAAAGAACUCUGUCCCGACGAGCCUGCAGCAUGCAUUCACGACGCCGCACCGCCAGCCAGCGGUAGAGGACGCCGCGGCAUGCAUGCCAACCGGGCGAACAAAGCGCUACGUUUCCAGCGAAGCAAUAUCCGUUAACUUUCAGCUCGCCCACACAAAAUAAAGCAAGGCGAGCCUGCCUCCGGGACGUCGUCCGAAAUAACCCGUACCAAAACAGCGGUUGGAACAAAAGAAUGCCAUGGCCCACAUGGAUCAAACCAACGCACGACGCUCACCAAAUGUACACCCUAUGCAAGAAAAAAAAAGCACUACCAACAGGAAGCGGCCUUUGUCCAAGAGUUGUUGCUGAACUAUACAAGUGGUGUGGUGACGCGAACUGUCGUGUUAAGAAAAGCACGGAUACCAAUCAAAAGCCCACACAGGGGGCUGCAACUCAGAUUCUAAUUAAUUUAACGCUCUGUACCAUGCCUUCCAUAUUUUUCAUGCGUGCCUAAGGGUGCACUGGCUGAGCAAGCCUGCAUGGAGUUAUGUCGAAAAUACAGUUCGGAAAGAGACAACAAGGUUACGAGAAGGGUAGAACCCCAGCGAUGACAAAAGUUUGAGAGAAAUCACGCAACAUGGAUGCAACGUAUACAAUGUAUAUUCGAAUUACGUCACUGUACGUGAACUGUCGUCCUAGGCGGACGUAAUAUGCAAGAAAAGCCAGAACACAUUUGCUAAUAAAUUA
Dermacentor albipictus is the source of this 1203-nucleotide long non-coding RNA. RefSeq lists it as uncharacterized. The record is from RefSeq and is a predicted model, not a curated record. NCBI's taxonomy places the organism in Eukaryota, Metazoa, Arthropoda, Arachnida, Ixodida, Ixodidae.